RNAcentral lists this ribosomal RNA (253 nucleotides) under uncultured bacterium. Its description in RNAcentral is "partial 16S ribosomal RNA". It matches the Rfam family "Bacterial small subunit ribosomal RNA", at positions 524 to 776 of the family's 1533-position model. The record is from RNAcentral.
GACGGAGGAUGCAAGUGUUAUCCGGAAUCACUGGGCGUAAAGAGUAUGUAGGCGGCUAUUUAAGUCAGGCGUGCAAGCCCACGGCUCAACCGUGGAAUUGCGUUUGAAACUAUUUAGCUUGAGUACAGGAGAGGAAGGCGGAAUUCCCAGUGUAGCGGUGAAAUGCAUUGAUAUUGGGAAGAACACCGGUGGCGAAGGCGGCCUUCUGGUCUGAUACUGACGCUGAGAUACGAAAGCCAGGGGAGCGAACGGG